UUGAACGCUGGCGGCAUGCCUUACACAUGCAAGUCGAACGGUAGAGGGGCAACCCUUGAGAGUGGCGAACGGGUGAGUAAUAUAUCGGAACGUGCCCAGUCGUGGGGGAUAACGCAGCGAAAGCUGCGCUAAUACCGCAUACGAUCUAUGGAUGAAAGCGGGGGAUCGCAAGGCCUCGCGCGAUUGGAGCGGCCGAUAUCAGAUUAGGUAGUUGGUGGGGUAAAAGCCCACCAAGCCGACGAUCUGUAGCUG
RNAcentral lists this ribosomal RNA (252 nucleotides) under uncultured bacterium. RNAcentral describes it as "partial 16S ribosomal RNA". It matches the Rfam family "Bacterial small subunit ribosomal RNA", at positions 30 to 289 of the family's 1533-position model. The record is from RNAcentral.